RNAcentral lists this ribosomal RNA (441 nucleotides) under uncultured bacterium. RNAcentral's name for it is "bacterial SSU rRNA". It matches the Rfam family "Bacterial small subunit ribosomal RNA", at positions 958 to 1400 of the family's 1533-position model. The record is from RNAcentral.
AACGCGAAGAACCUUACCUACCCUUGACAUCCUGCGAAGAUGGCUGAGAGGCUAUUGUGCCGAAAGGAGCGCAGAGACAGGUGCUGCAUGGCUGUCGUCAGCUCGUGUUGUGAGAUGUUGGGUUAAGUCCCGUAACGAGCGCAACCCUUGUCCUUAGUUGCCAGCAUUGAGUUGGGGACUCUAAGGAGACUGCCGGUGAUGAACCGGAGGAAGGCGGGGACGACGUCAAGUCAUCAUGGCCUUUAUGGGUAGGGCUACACACGUGCUACAAUGGGCCGUACAGAGGGAAGCCAACCCGUGAGGGGGAGCGAAUCUCGAAAAGCGGCUCGUAGUCCGGAUUGGAGUCUGCAACUCGACUCCAUGAAGUUGGAAUCGCUAGUAAUCGCGAAUCAGCAUUGUCGCGGUGAAUACGUUCCCGGGCCUUGUACACACCGGUAUCUC